This 253-nucleotide ribosomal RNA is filed under the name uncultured bacterium. Its description in RNAcentral is "partial 16S ribosomal RNA". It matches the Rfam family "Bacterial small subunit ribosomal RNA", at positions 524 to 776 of the family's 1533-position model. The record is from RNAcentral.
UACAGAGGGGCAAGCGUUGUUCGGAAUUACUGGGCGUAAAGAGCUCGUAGGUGGCUUGCUAAGUCAGGUGUGAAACCUCCAGGCUCAACCUGGAGCCGCCACCUGAUACUGGUAUGGCUAGAGUCCGGUAGGGGACCACGGAAUUCCUGGUGUAGCGGUGAAAUGCGCAGAUAUCAGGAGGAACACCGGUGGCGAAGGCGGCUUGCUGGGCCAGUUCUGACGCUGAGGAGCGAAAGCGUGGGGAGCGAACAGG